This 156-nucleotide ribosomal RNA is filed under the name Aspergillus awamori. Its description in RNAcentral is "5.8S ribosomal RNA". It matches the Rfam family "5.8S ribosomal RNA". Rfam says of the family: 5.8S ribosomal RNA (5.8S rRNA) is a component of the large subunit of the eukaryotic ribosome. It is transcribed by RNA polymerase I as part of the 45S precursor that also contains 18S and 28S rRNA. Lineage: Eukaryota; Fungi; Ascomycota; Eurotiomycetes; Eurotiales; Aspergillaceae. The record is from RNAcentral.
UAAAACUUUCAACAAUGGAUCUCUUGGUUCCGGCAUCGAUGAAGAACGCAGCGAAAUGCGAUAACUAAUGUGAAUUGCAGAAUUCAGUGAAUCAUCGAGUCUUUGAACGCACAUUGCGCCCCCUGGUAUUCCGGGGGGCAUGCCUGUCCGAGCGUC